CAUUUCUAGCGUAGGUUGGGAAGCCGACACUCCCCGGUAACUGGCAGGGGGAGGCGGUUUGCGGGACGCUGCCGGGGGGCGCUGAGCUUUGUGCCAACCUCUCCCAGCGUCCGGCCAGCCAGGAGAAAGCUGCGAAUGCAGGAGGGGAUGAAGGCGGAGAAUGGGUGAGGAAGGAAGGGGCUGGGAAAUGGGAAGAGGUCGUUCUGCCCCCGAAACUACAUAAUGGCUGGGAAGGACCGCCAAACAAGACUGGAACCAGUAGGAAGUUGUACGGUAUGAAGAAACAGGCCCAAGGAAGCUUCCAGAUUUUGUCAGAUGGUAGAUUCCAAGUCUCCAACUUCUACUGCUGCUUGGUGCUGUCUAACCGUCCCUUAAUGGCACAGAUUCACUGGACAGAGGAAGAAGAGGAUGGCCAAGAUUUACUGGUUGAAAGAUGAGACAGCUCCCUUCUGAUGCUUUCUAUCUGCCUUUGAAAUUCAUCAGCUGAGGGUGAGGAAGAGAUGGGAGAAUUGGAGUUUGAUUAUGUCAUAGAAGCAACUAUACAGUUCAGUUGUGUUGGAGGACCUCACCAUCAGGUCUCGCUCCCUCUUAGUAAGUGUCAAGAGAGACCAAGGCCACUGUUGCUUCUUCCAAAUUCCAUUUUAUAAGGACUCUCAAUUUUAAAGUUGAGAAGAUGGAUCAUAUGCCUAUCUGCUUCCAGUGUCCUCUUGCUUCCAGGCUGAAGGAGCUGUGUUCUCCAGGACAUGGAAUUAUUGACAUCAUCUACAAGGCAUAUUAACCAUGAAGAAAGACAGAUUUCAACUGUACGUCCUCUUUCUGCAGAGACUGAAGAAGAGAGUUCCAUGGACCCCAGCUUCAAAAAACAUGACUCUACAGUGUGAAAUAAUUGAGGGUAAGCACUGCGAAUUUUUUUUUUUUUGGGGGGGCCACACCCACAGGAAUGUGGAAAAUCUCAGGCUAGGGGUUAAAUCGAAGCUGCAACUGCCAGCCUACACUAUAGCCAUAGCAACUUGGGAUCCAAGCUGGGUCUGUGACCUACACCACAGCUCAUAGCAACGCUGGAUCCCCAACCCCACUGAGUGGAGCCAGAAAUGGAACCCAGAUCUUCAUGGAUAUUAGCCAGAUUCAUUUUCACUGUGCUGCAACGGGAACUCCAGCACUGUGAAUUUGGGACAUGAUGUCUCCCACACUGAGUAGAUAGUCCUGUACAUAUUGAGUCCUGAAAACACUGAAUGAAUGAAUCAAAUAGCCUUUUUUGGAGAUCCACUGUACUGGUAGUAUGCUAUGUGUUUUAUGUAUGUUCUUUCAUUCUUCUAAUGUUGUUCUAUGGCUGAGGAAACUGAAGCUAACUAGAAGUAAAAGAAGCUGAAGAUCUAGAAUUGACAAGCAUAGAAAGGAGAUAUGAAUAGAUCUGAAGUUCAAGGGGAGGACUCCUGCAUGAGCAGGGCCUUAGUCUGGGUGUUGAGACAUGUUGUGAGAUUCACCAUCAUGGCUCAGCUGGUCCUAGUUCCAGGCCCAGCUGUGGGGGGCCAUCACCUCUGAGGUCUUCUCAGGCCACCAUGUGGCAGCACCAUUGUCAGGCACUUGUUGUCAGUGACAAAAAUGGACUUCCUAUUUGCUCCUUCUAAUAGCCCCUUAAAAUAACACAUGAGUCUUUCAUAGUUUUAGCUUCCACUUGAGAACCUGCAUUCAGACUAAAACCUUUUUGUUGUGGUUGAGAUUGAUUUGCAAUCUGAUUCUUGCAUUAGAUAGCCAUUCUUAGGCUAUUAGGAGCCCCAUAGAAAAUUGCUCCAAUGGAUCCAUAUCACUUUGGGAAGUUCCCGUGGAAUUGUUCUUCCGGAGAAAUGAUAAAAACUCUGGGUCAGUCGCUAGAGUGUCAGCAGAUUGAAUGGCCAAAAGAGAAUGCCUCCCAUCUGUGGCCCUGAAGUGCUGGGUCAGCAGAGGAAAGUGGUUAAAAUAAUUACCGUGGAGUCAGGGAAUUUGGCAGAUUUGGGAGAUCACACAUGUAAAGGGACCUUUUUUCCUCCGUUUUCUUAUCUCAGACCCAUGUGAAUUGAUGAUCAUGAGGGCACCAAGGGGACAGAAAUAGACGUUAUCCUGCUCCGGUCCCAAACCGGGAAGAAAGAAAUAACCAACCCUACUUCUCUACAUGGGUGGAAUGAGGGCUGACCAGUAUGCAAAUGGCAGCAGACAUAUGGUUAUGUUCUGAUUAGCUACUAGUGAUUUGAAGCCAUGCAUAUGUAUCAACUGCUGAUGUAUGUAUGGACAAUACAUCUGUUUACACAAAUAGACUUGAAGCAUUUUUUUUUCCAUUUUUCUUAAGGAUCUAGUACUGGAUGCCCAUAGGAAAAGAUGUUUUACUUCCUUUUCCCAUUAAUUUUGAUCAGCCAGAAUCAAACUACUUUGUUUUCUCUUAUUCUUACUUUUGUGAAGGAACUUUUUCUUUGUGUGUGUAGCUUUACUAACCAUAUUGUUUGGGCUCUUGAAAAAGGAGGUAUGGGAGUUCCCAUUGUGGCCUAACAAGAUUGGCAGCAUCUCUGGAGUACUGGGAUACAGGUUAAGUCCCCGGCCCAGCACAACAGAUUAAGGAUCUGGCAUUGCCUCAGCUAUAGCAUAGGUUGAAACUGCAGCUCGGAUCUAAUCCCUGGCCUGGGAACUCUAUGUGCCAUGGGG
This 2673-nucleotide long non-coding RNA is filed under the name Sus scrofa (pig). RNAcentral describes it as "lncRNA (ENSSSCG00000042842.2)". The record is from RNAcentral. Lineage: Eukaryota; Metazoa; Chordata; Mammalia; Artiodactyla; Suidae.